UCCUGUCUACCUCUCAAACUCCAUGAUUCAAGAUUCUUUCAGUGUCUAAAUCUUUUCUGUUCUUUAAAUUUCUCUGCAGCUCGGCAAUGUGUCACUGCAUUGUGCAGUCGUAAAAAUAAUAUUAAUGUUACGUGGUGCGAAACGAUGCUCAUACCACAUCCCGCGGAUGAAAAAUAUUGAAUGUGUCAACAUGUUCGAGGACUAAGAAGAGAGCGUCGUCAUUCAGCUCCUGGCCUCUGUAGACCAUUUAGGUACCUUUCUUGGGAGCAAUAUGAUAUUAAAAAAUCCAUAUGGAGCAACCUGGGUGAUGAUUUCCAUGGGGAAUUACCUCCAAGUAUUCCGGUAAUUACCCAAAGCGAAAAGGACUAUUAUGUUUGUGGAAAUAUUACGUGUUCCCAGGAUAUAUUCUGAUUUCCUCUGAUCUUCAGGUACUAGCUCUGCGUUGACCACCUACGUCUUCUGCCAGUGACACAUCCUGUGCCUUGGUUUCUCCAAGGAAAUAUUGAAACCCACACUGCAGUCAAAAGGAUUCAGAGAAUGACACGUACAAUCCUCAGCCAUUUGUGUGAGUCAAGCUCAUUGAUUGCCAGGCAAGAUGAGGUUAAUCUCCUCAACCCUCAGCCCCGGAAGGAACAACAAUGUGGAACAUGUAUCCUUGCCACAGGGGCACAGCUUUCUGGGCCAGAGGUAGACACAUCUCAAAGGGGAAACGAUUCAUAAUUAUGGCUGAGCCAAAAGAAGCUACCUUUUGGGAAUUUGUAAUUGAGAUUCUGAGGGACUGGCUAAGUUUGUGGCAAGCCAAAAAUACAUCAACACAGAGAAAGCAGAUGAGCUAGUUGCUGUACGACAGUCAAUGACCUCCCCGCCUUCAAGCUGCCUGACUGUUCUGGUUUGCAAAGUGCCAGAGGAGCACAAGACAGCCAUGAGAGGCUGUACUGGGUACAUCCUGACUGGUCCCUGCACCCAACGGCCCCUGGUCUGCAGAGCCCUGCCUUGCUGGGACAUGGAUGCUCUUAGGAGGGAUGUUUAUUGAGCAUCCACUAUGUGUCAGCCACAAGAGAUACAACGGUGAACGAGAUGGACAUGGUUCUUCCCCCAUGGAACUUUCUGCCUCAUCUCCACAAGUAAAACAUCACCAUGCCUUCAUUAGAAGGGUUGAUAUCUUCCUCCUUCCUGAUGGGCCCACAGCUGGAAUCUCCAGAACUGCUCCCCAAGUCAGUUUGCACACAUGGGCCAACUCCUCCAUUAAGAGAAGAACUUGCCAUCUGAUUAAUUGCUUGGCAAUUGACCUCCUAUCAACCAAUCAUCUGUCGUGAAGACACUGCUGUCAGCAGCGUUCAAUCACCACAUGUCACUGAUGGCUCCCUACCGUACAUUACUGUAAAACUAUAUCACUUCUCACAUGAGGAUUAAGUCAUCCAAGCAGAAGCUUGAAGACUUUGCCAAGAGCCCUGACGGACUCCAUUUCAACCCCCCUGGGUGAAAGAGGCUUUAUUAGGAGAUCUGAUGUUUCCAGUUCUCCUUGGCUGGAAGCUCCUGCUGGACAGCUGACGAGGAGAUGUGACAGGUGUUUGUGUCUUCCUCAAACACUUGGGUCUUUAACAGCAUUGGAGAACCCUGUCUGCUUGGCCACUUGGCAGAAUGCAUUUCCCGGAAGUGCAUUCUGUGCUCUGAGGUUGUGAAUCCUGAGAAGUGAGAACAACAAGCUGUGACCCUUUCUCUAGAAGGCAAGAGUGCUUCCAAGCCAGGGCAGCUGGUGCUAAUUAAUAUCUUCUGCUUGGUCAGCUAAAUCUCCUUUUGAUAUAAACAACUCUGAUCAUAUCAGCAAGCCAGCAGGGAAGACAGACAUAUGGAGUUAAGGCCAACCUUAUAUAUAUUUUCCUCUCUCAAGGCCCCUCUCUUUCCCCUUGGUGCCCCCACCAGUUUUAAAUGCUUUGAUUAUAGGAACAAGCUCUUAUGCUACUCCUGCUUCUACUUCUCCUUUAAAGGAUUAUAGAAAACA
Molecule: long non-coding RNA, 2002 nt
Organism: Phacochoerus africanus (Common warthog)
Lineage: Eukaryota; Metazoa; Chordata; Mammalia; Artiodactyla; Suidae
Exons: 7
Source: RefSeq, a predicted model, not a curated record